Molecule: ribosomal RNA, 514 nt
Filed under: uncultured bacterium
Lineage: Bacteria
Description: partial 16S ribosomal RNA
Rfam family: Bacterial small subunit ribosomal RNA
Source: RNAcentral
GAUGAACGCUGGCGGCGUGCCUAAUACAUGCAAGUCGAGCGAACAGAUGAGAAGCUUGCUUCCCUGAUGUUAGCGGCGGACGGGUGAGUAACACGUGGGUAACCUACCUAUAAGACUGGGAUAACUCCGGGAAACCGGGGCUAAUACCGGAUAAUAUUUUGAACCGCAUGGUUCAAUAGUGAAAGACGGUUUCGGCUGUCACUUAUAGAUGGACCCGCGCCGCAUUAGCGAGUUGGUAAGGUAACGGCUUACCAAGGCGACGAUACGUAGCCGACCUGAGAGGGAGAUCGGCCACACUGGAACUGAGACACGGUCCAGACUCCUACGGGAGGCAGCAGUAGGGAAUCUUCCGCAAUGGGCGAAAGCCUGACGGAGCAACGCCGCGUGAGUGAUGAAGGUCUUCGGAUCGUAAAACUCUGUUGUUAGGGAAGAAGAAAUUUGUUAGUAACUGAACGAGUCUUGACGGUACCUAACCAGAAAGCCACGGCUAACUACGUGCCAGCCGCCGCAGUAA